This 501-nucleotide ribosomal RNA is filed under the name uncultured bacterium. Its description in RNAcentral is "partial 16S ribosomal RNA". It matches the Rfam family "Bacterial small subunit ribosomal RNA", at positions 30 to 523 of the family's 1533-position model. The record is from RNAcentral.
AUUGAACGCUGGCGGCAGGCUUAACACAUGCAAGUCGAGCGGAGAUGAGGUGCUUGCACCUUAUCUUAGCGGCGGACGGGUGAGUAAUGCUUAGGAAUCUGCCUAUUAGUGGGGGACAACAUUCCGAAAGGAAUGCUAAUACCGCAUACGUCCUACGGGAGAAGGCAGGGGAUCUUCGGACCUUGCGCUAAUAGAUGAGCCUAAGUCGGAUUAGCUGGUUGGUGGGGUAAAGGCCUACCAAGGCGACGAUCUGUAGCGGGUCUGAGAGGAUGAUCCGCAACACUGGGACUGAGACACGGCCCAGACUCCUACGGGAGGCAGCAGUGGGGAAUAUUGGACAAUGGGGGGAACCCUGAUCCAGCCAUGCCGCGUGUGUGAAGAAGGCCUUAUGGUUGUAAAGCACUUUAAGCGAGGAGGAGGCUACUGAGACUAAUACUCUUGGAUAGUGGACGUUACUCGCAGAAUAAGCACCGGCUAACUCUGUGCCAGCCGCCGCGGUAA